Molecule: unclassified non-coding RNA, 2531 nt
Filed under: Leishmania donovani
Lineage: Eukaryota; Euglenozoa; Kinetoplastea; Trypanosomatida; Trypanosomatidae
Description: gene:LdHU3.29.1110(CDS-product:U-box_domain_prote in_putative)
Source: RNAcentral
UCUGUUUCCGCUCCUUCAUCUUUCCCUACCACCCUCUGCAGGCGUAACUGCCCUUCUCUCUUUAGGCAAACAUAGACCUAUACUUACCACUCCAUCACCCCACCCCUUCUUACUCGCCCGCCUUCCCUCUCUGUGUGUUUGUGUGCAGCAUCGUGUGCAGGUCCGUCUUCCUCCCUUCUCUCCUGUGCUUUAAAGUGAUCACCAAAAGGAAGCAGUGACCUUUAUCAUAGACAACACGUCCGUGCUUGUGUACACACACACACGCACGCACACCCUACUGCCUACACAGACAACAGUCCACAUCGACCAGGAAAGGCAACGCCUUUGUCCAACACCUGUUUUCGGCGCCUUGCCGCUGUUGGUCAUACCCAGAACCCGUUAACUGCGCAGGGCUGACCGCCUUUCUCGAUUUUGUUGGGGUUUGUCUUAUUUCGUGCCUGGACUGUGCAUACGGUCAUCUCGCUCCUCCUCUACUAUUCCCCCCCCCCCCCCCCCAACCCAACCCACUCAAGCAUGGCGAACAUUGGUGAGCUGGACGCCUACAUCCAGAGCGGUACCGCGGUCGACGAUACCAAGCUCGACCAAUGGAUUCAAAUGAGUGACAUCUCAAAUGCAGACGGGUUCUACAUGGGCGAUGCCGCCGUCGUCAGCGAGGCUGUGCGCCGCGUCUCUCGCGUCGUCGUGGCGCAGUACUUGAACAACGCUGAUGUAAAGGCCGUGCCGCUGCGCCGCAAGACGAAGUUCUGCUUGCUGCUGAACAACUUCUCUCUCUACAAGCCGGUGCGGUCGGUGGUGUUCGAGUGCUUGGAGGACAUGACGAGUAUCUUCGAGAAGUCCAUCAAAGACGAGGGCACGAUGCCGUUUGAUUCAGAGCUAGGCCGCAUGUCGGAGCACGUACUAGUGCUGCUGAUGCGCGUGAUGGACUACAAACUGAAGGCUGCGGCCGUACACGAGUUUGCAGAGCACAACACGCAGUUUGCAAUUCAGCUGCUGCUGGCUAUCUUGCUGAAGGAGCCUCCGUACGAGUUCGAGCUGCGGUGCAACUGCAUUAGCGGCCUGCUAGGCUUCACCCAGCCGCAGGCCUUCUUUGGAGCUGGGGAAAAGAUCGAGGAGCACAGUUGUAACAAAUUCACGGAAAAGGUGGACUUUAUGCUGAACCUGAUGCUGCGUCUGCAGGCGAUCCAGGUGGUGAGCGACGUGCUCGGCGACGCCAUCGCAAGCUCGGAUACGGUACCGCAGUUGGCUCAGAGCGCUGUGAACAACACGAUGCAGACCAUCAUGAACAUCUUCAAGUUCUCCUCGAAGGAGUCGACACAGUGGCGUCAGCACAUCCUUCUCUCCACGACGUUACUCGACGGGACGGUGAUGAUGUAUGUGCAGUCGCUGGCCUCAAAUCUGCAUGAGACGAUGACUGCACGGGCGCCGCGCGUCGCUGGACAGUUGUUGCACUCCCUCAGCCUAUCUUUCCUCUUCGGAGCCUUCGCAGCGUACCACAUGGAGGAGGCGAGCCAGGAGUUGCGCAUCUUCUGCACCUUCUUCCACGACCUCUUCCAACUGUCGAUCCGCCCCAUCGUGGCAGAUGCGCGUGUGUCAGGGCAAAUGAUGGUUAUGUACAUCAACCUCCUCCACUUCAUGUGCAACGUCGAUGCCAUGGGCGAAGAGCCCUGCUAUCCGAUGGACGGCCUGCUGCCCGAGCUGUCGAGCGCUGCGCUGCGAUCGACCGUUGAGGCUUUCCUGAAGAAGGAGGUGGGCGGCUGCGGGCUGCCUUUCACGGAGGCGUGGUAUCGACAGUUCCGUCGUGUCACGGCCGACACCCUCAUCGCGCAGGAUUCGACCACGUUUCAGUGGAUCGACAGCUGCUUCCUUGCCAUGAUCUCACAGCUGACCGCGCAGCAGGUGCCGGUGGCCGCACCGGCUGCCCCGGCUGGUGGCGCGCGUCUGCUGAGCGAGAUACCUCCUCUGAGGCCGGAGAAGAAGAACAAGAUCUCUAUCGACAAGGCGGCCGCGCCGAUCCGGCACAAGGUGAAUCCGAGUGCGAAGCAGGACAGUGUCGAGGGCGUGGACGCCGACCUUCUGUGCGCGCUGACUGGCGCCGUCAUGAAGAACCCUGUCUCCUCGCCGUACGGGCAGACAUACGAAAAGGAGGCCAUCAUGAACUGGCUGGAGCAGAACGGCUCCGUCUGCCCCAUCACCGGACGCCCUCUGACGGCCGCCCAACUGAACCCGAACACGGCUGUGGCGACGAAGAUCAUGCAACAGAUAGUGCGUCAGACCAUGGCAACACAACUGGUGGCCGAGGACGACAUGUACAAAUUCUGAUGAGGGCGUCCAGGCGGAACAGCCUCAGAACAAGGUCCGCUCUCGUGUUGAUCGCGGCCCCCUUUUCCCGCUUGUCUUCCCCUCUCGCGUUUCCCGCCCGCUCCACCACACACGUGUGAGUGCCUGAAGUCUGUAUUGAUUGCACCAGGAGUCUGGGCAUACGCGCAUGCACAAGCUGCACGGGAUCUCUUUCUGCUGUCCUGAGCAGAUCU